RNAcentral lists this unclassified non-coding RNA (2541 nucleotides) under uncultured fungus. Its description in RNAcentral is "sequence contains 18S rRNA gene, ITS1, 5.8S rRNA gene, ITS2, 28S rRNA gene". Lineage: Eukaryota; Fungi. The record is from RNAcentral.
CCAAGGUGGAAAUGUCGCACAUCGGAGGGUAGUUGGAAAAGUACGACGAGGGGUAUGAUAGGGCAGGCUAAAAUACGAUGGAAAUUCAACACUAGAAGAGGCAAUAUGCAAUAUCGCGAACUUGGACGCACAGGCUGGAAGGUCUCCACGGUCAGUUUUGGCGCGUGGGCAAUCGGCGGGACGUGGGGCGAUGUGAAAGAUGAUGAGUCGCUGGCCGCAUUAAACCGCGCUCUUGACCUGGGUGUGAACUUCUUCGAUACGGCCGAUGUCUACGGAGAUGGGCGCAGUGAGCAGCUGCUGGCAAAGCUGCGUCGGGAGAGGAGCGAGCCGUUCCAUGUCGCUACCAAGGCCGGGCGGAGAUCCGAUCCGCAUCUGGCAGGUGGAUAUAACAGGCAGAACUGACAGCAUUUGUCGAGCGCAGCCUGAAGAAUCUCGAGGUGGAAGCAAUCGACCUCCUGCAAUUACACUGCCCGCCCACGGAAGUCUUUUACAGGCCGGAAGUGUUCGAUGUAUUGGACGGGCUGGUCCAGCAAGGCAAACUCCGUAAUUACGGUGUAAGCGUUGAAAAAGUGGAGGAAGCGCUGAAGGCGAUAGAAUAUCCGAAUGUGAAGUCGGUGCAGAUCAUCUUCAACAUCUUCCGCCAGCGGCCCAUGGACUUGUUCUUCGAGCAGGCGCAGCGUCGCAAGGUAGGCAUCCUGGCACGUCUGCCGCUUUCCUCGGGCAUGCUGGCUGGGAAGAUGACGCGUGCCAGCUCCUUCGAAGAGAGUGACCAUCGCGGAGGCAACCGCCAUGGUGAGUGGUUCGACCGUGGCGAGACUUUCUCAGGCAUCGAUUAUGACACCGGUCUGCAGGCUGUGGAGGAGAUCCGACCCCUUGUUCCUGCCGACCAGACCAUGGCACAAAUGGCGCUGCGCUGGAUCCUGAUGUUCUCGGCCGUGACCUGCGCCAUCCGGGAGCGAAGCGGCCCUCCCAGGUGGAGGAAAACGUCCAUGCCGCCGACCUGCCUCCGCUUCCGGACGAAGCGAUGAACCAGAUCCGCUCGAUUUACGAUCGCCGGGUGCGCCCGCAGGUCCAUCAUUACUGGUAAAGAGAAAACACGAUGAUCGACAGUUCCAAGCUGUAUUUAUUUAUCGUUGCUGCGCUCGCCCUUCUAUUGGUCCCGGGUCCUGCGGUUUUGUAUAUCACUGCCCGCAGCGCCAGCCAGGGACGCCUGGCAGGCCUAGUCUCAGUGCUGGCCAUUGAGACCGCCAACUUCACGCAGGCUCUCGCCGCGGCUCUCGGACUUGCAGCCAUCUUGUACUCGUCCGCCAUGGCAUUCAAUGUUGUGAAAUAUUUGGGCGCCGCCUAUUUGAUUUACCUGGGCAUCAAUAAAUUGUUUUUCUCAAGUGACAGGGGUGCGGAAGAGACUGUCGCGCCCGACAGUCUCUGGCGCAUUUACUGGCAGGGAUUUGCCGUCAACAUCCUGAACCCGAAGACUGCUCUUUUCUUCUUCGCCUUCCUGCCUCAGUUUGUAAACCCGGAAAAAGGAAACUCCACCUCACAGACCCUGUUGCUGGGCGCGAUCUUUGUGGGGCUGGCGAUCAUCACAGACAGCUUGUAUGCCCUGCUGGCCAGUUCCCUGGCAGGCCAGUUGAAGGGAAGCAAAAAUUUCCAAAAAGGGGGCCGUUAUUUUGCCGGUCUAAUCUACAUCGGUCUGGGCAUUACCACCGCGUUGACAGGGUCGAAGAAAUAGGGUUGGCAGUUUAAGCGAUCCUCCAACAAGCAACAUAUAUCCAACGUAGCCAGCCCGCUUAGCGAGCGUGACUUUGUAGCCGGUCUUGCCUGCGGGCGUUUGUAAGACAGUCAAAAACAGGACAAUUUAAAAGAACAGCGCGCCGUUCAUAAGCCCGGGAUAGCCCUUCUGAGCAAUUUUCCUCCGCCCUUAUCUCAAGUAUAAUCACGCCCAUGACUAUCAAGACUCAACUGAACGAUUCGUUAAGAGAUGCCAUGAAGAGCGGGGACGAGGUCCGCAAGCGUACGGUGCGCAUGGCCCUGGCCUCCAUCAAACAGGUGGAAGUGGAUAAGCGCGUCGAGCUCGACGAUGCUGCUGUGAUGGGCAUCCUCCAGAAGGAAGUGAAGAACCGGCGCGAGGCCCUGGAGGAAGCCAGAAAGGCAAACCGUCCUGACCUGAUCGAUGCCAAUGAAGCCGAGAUCCGGGUGCUGGAGGCCUUUUUGCCGAAAGCUAUGCCGGCAGAGGAACUGCACACCAUCGUCCAGUCUGCCAUCACAGAAACAGGUGCAACCACUCCAGCCGACAUGGGGAAGGUCAUGAAGGUCGUCAUGCCAAAAGUCGCGGGCCGCGCGCCCAAUGACAUGAUCAGCGCGACCGUGCGGGAACUGCUCCAAAAAUAAAAUGGGGACACCCGACGCGCGAAACCGUCCCUACCCCGCGCGCAUCCGCACGCUGCAGCUUACCCUGCUUGUCCUUGUCAGCAUCAUAUCCUAUGGAGCGCUCGUACUCCCGCAGGCCUUUCGCCCUGCGGCUUUACAGAUCCAGGUAGG